AGUGAACGCUGGCGGUAGGCCUAACACAUGCAAGUCGAACGGCAGCACAGUAAGAGCUUGCUCUUACGGGUGGCGAGUGGCGGACGGGUGAGGAAUACAUCGGAAUCUACUUUUUCGUGGGGGAUAACGUAGGGAAACUUACGCUAAUACCGCAUACGACCUACGGGUGAAAGCAGGGGAUCUUCGGACCUUUCGCGAUUGAAUGAGCCGAUGUCGGAUUAGCUAGUUGGCGGGGUAAAGGCCCACCAAGGCGACGAUCCGUAGCUGGUCUGAGAGGAUGAUCAGCCACACUGGAACUGAGACACGGUCCAGACUCCUACGGGAGGCAGCAGUGGGGAAUAUUGGACAAUGGGCGCAAGCCUGAUCCAGCUAUACCGCGUGGGUGAAGAAGGCCUUCGGGUUGUAAAGCCCUUUUGUUGGGAAAGAAAAGCAGCAGGUUAAUACCCCGCUGUUCUGACGGUACCCAAAGAAUAAGCACCGGCUAACUUCGUG
Molecule: ribosomal RNA, 492 nt
Filed under: uncultured bacterium
Lineage: Bacteria
Description: partial 16S ribosomal RNA
Rfam family: Bacterial small subunit ribosomal RNA
Source: RNAcentral